GUGCAGCAGGCGCGAAAACUUUACAAUGCGAGCAAUCGUGAUAAGGAAACCCUGAGUGCCUGUCAAUGCAGGCUGUUCUGGUGUCUAACACACACCAGGAGAAAGGGCGGGGCAAGACCGGUGCCAGCCGCCGCGGUAAUACCGGCUGCUCGAGUGAUAGCCACUUUUACUGGGCUUAAAGCGUUCGUAGCUUGGUCGUUAAGUCUCUGGGGAAAUCUUUUGGCUCAACCAAAAGGCGUCUCAGGGAAACUGACGAUCUUGGAACCGGGAGAGGUAAGACGUACUUCGGGGGUAGGAGUGAAAUCUUGUAAUCCCCGAGGGACGACCGAUGGCGAAGGCAUCUUACCAGAACGGCUUCGACAGUGAGGGACGAAAGCUGGGGGAGCAAACCGGAUUAGAUACCCGGGUAGUCC
RNAcentral lists this ribosomal RNA (413 nucleotides) under uncultured Methanocalculus sp. Its description in RNAcentral is "bacterial SSU rRNA". It matches the Rfam family "Archaeal small subunit ribosomal RNA", at positions 330 to 747 of the family's 1478-position model. The record is from RNAcentral. Lineage: Archaea; Methanobacteriati; Methanobacteriota; Methanomicrobia; Methanomicrobiales; Methanocalculaceae.